RNAcentral lists this ribosomal RNA (497 nucleotides) under uncultured bacterium. RNAcentral describes it as "partial 16S ribosomal RNA". It matches the Rfam family "Bacterial small subunit ribosomal RNA", at positions 28 to 507 of the family's 1533-position model. The record is from RNAcentral.
GAUGAACGCUGGCGGCGUGCCUAAUACAUGCAAGUCGAGCGAACAGACGAGGAGCUUGCUCCUCUGACGUUAGCGGCGGACGGGUGAGUAACACGUGGAUAACCUACCUAUAAGACUGGGAUAACUUCGGGAAACCGGAGCUAAUACCGGAUAAUAUAUUGAACCGCAUGGUUCAAUAGUGAAAGACGGUUUUGCUGUCACUUAUAGAUGGAUCCGCGCCGCAUUAGCUAGUUGGUAAGGUAACGGCUUACCAAGGCGACGAUGCGUAGCCGACCUGAGAGGGGGUUCGGCCACACUGGAACUGAGACACGGUCCAGACUCCUACGGGAGGCAGCAGUAGGGAAUCUUCCGCAAUGGGCGAAAGCCUGACGGAGCAACGCCGCGUGAGUGAUGAAGGUCUUCGGAUCGUAAAACUCUGUUAUUAGGGAAGAACAAAUGUGUAAGUAACUAUGCACGUCUUGACGGUACCUAAUCAGAAAGCCACGGCUAACUACGUG